GAAAUUGAUGUGGGUGUCGCCUUAGGAUAGUUUGGAGCUGUGUGCGUGUGUCGGCGUGCUUGAGGUGUGGUACUGGAUAUGAGUAGGAUGGGCAGAUUGGCUUGAGCUAGUCUUGCUUGGGGCUCGAUCCUUUUUGUGAUAUGUCAGGAUGAGUACAGAUUUGAGUUGGUCUCACUGACUCUCUCAUUUGGAUUAUUAAGAGAAAGUCUGGCUCAAGUUGAUCUCACUGGCAGAGGUUAGAAUUAAAAGAGCUGUGUAGGGGAUUAGC
Molecule: unclassified non-coding RNA, 268 nt
Filed under: Hevea brasiliensis (rubber tree)
Lineage: Eukaryota; Viridiplantae; Streptophyta; Magnoliopsida; Malpighiales; Euphorbiaceae
Source: RNAcentral